GGCGGGGUAGCUCAGGUGGUUAGAGCGCAGGAUUCAUAACCCUGAGGUCAGGGGUUCAAUUCCCCUCCCCGCUA
Molecule: transfer RNA, 74 nt
Filed under: Sphingobacteriales bacterium
Lineage: Bacteria; Pseudomonadati; Bacteroidota; Sphingobacteriia; Sphingobacteriales
Description: tRNA-Met
Rfam family: tRNA
About the family: Transfer RNA (tRNA) molecules are approximately 80 nucleotides in length. Their secondary structure includes four short double-helical elements and three loops (D, anti-codon, and T loops).
Source: RNAcentral